This 467-nucleotide ribosomal RNA is filed under the name uncultured bacterium. RNAcentral's name for it is "partial 16S ribosomal RNA". It matches the Rfam family "Bacterial small subunit ribosomal RNA", at positions 28 to 506 of the family's 1533-position model. The record is from RNAcentral.
GACGAACGCUGGCGGCGUGCUUAACACAUGCAAGUCGAACGGCAAGGCCCUGCUUUUGUGGGGUGCUCGAGUGGCGAACGGGUGAGUAACACGUGAGUAACCUGCCCUUGACUUUGGGAUAACUUCAGGAAACUGGGGCUAAUACCGGAUAGGAUCUCCUGCUGCAUGGUGGGGGUUGGAAAUUUUCGGCGGUUGGGGAUGGACUCGCGGCUUAUCAGCUUGUUGGUGGGGUAGUGGCUUACCAAGGCUUUGACGGGUAGCCGGCCUGAGAGGGUGACCGGCCACAUUGGGACUGAGAUACGGCCCAGACUCCUACGGGAAGAAGGAGUGGGGAAUAUUGCAAAAUGGGCGGAGGCCUGAUAGAGCAACGCCGCGUGGGGGAUGACGGUCUUCGGGAUGUAAACCGCUUUCGCCUGUGACGAGGCGUGAGUGACGGUAAUGGGUAAAGAAGCACCGGCUAACUACGU